This is a long non-coding RNA of Oncorhynchus keta (chum salmon), 579 nucleotides long. RefSeq lists it as uncharacterized. The record is from RefSeq and is a predicted model, not a curated record. The transcript has 4 exons. Lineage: Eukaryota; Metazoa; Chordata; Actinopteri; Salmoniformes; Salmonidae.
UCAUAUUCACUGAGUGGUUUAAUAGACCAGGUCAUAUUCAUAUCCACUGAGGGGUUUAAUAGACCAGGUCAUAUUCACUGAGGGGUUUAAUAGACCAGGUCAUAUUCACUGAGGGGUUUAAUAGACCAGGUCAUAUUCACUGAGGGGUUUAAUAGACCAGGUCAUAUCCACUGAGGGGUUUAAUAGACCAGGUCAUAUUCACUGAGGGGUUUAAUAGACCAGGUCAUAUUCACUGAGGGGUUUAAUAGACCAGGUCAUAUCCACUGAGGGGUUUAAUAGACCAGGUCAUAUUCACUGAGGGGUUUAAUAGACCAGGUCAUAUUCAUAUUCACUGAGGGGUUUAAUAGACCAGGUCAUAUUCAUAUCCACUGAGGGGUUUAAUAGACCAGGUCAUAUUCACUGAGGGGUUUAAUAGACCAGGUCAUAUUCACUGAGGGGUUUAAUAGACCAGGUCAUAUUCACUGAGGGGUUUAAUAGACCAGGUCAUAUUCACUGAGGGGUUUAAUAGACCAGGUCAUAUUCACUGAGGGGUUUAAUAGACCAGGUCAUAUUCACUGAGUGGUUUAAUAGACCAGGUCA